GCUCGAGCGUGACGAGGAAGUCGACGCUGCCCGCGUCGUCGACCGUCACGAAUCCGAGGUUCGGCGGUUCGACGCCGUAGUCCGACCA
RNAcentral lists this transfer RNA (88 nucleotides) under Rhodococcus gordoniae. RNAcentral describes it as "tRNA-Gly(gcc)". The record is from RNAcentral. Lineage: Bacteria; Bacillati; Actinomycetota; Actinomycetes; Mycobacteriales; Nocardiaceae. RNAcentral also lists the same sequence under 1 other name.